This 497-nucleotide ribosomal RNA is filed under the name uncultured incertae sedis 5 bacterium. Its description in RNAcentral is "bacterial SSU rRNA". It matches the Rfam family "Bacterial small subunit ribosomal RNA", at positions 97 to 590 of the family's 1533-position model. The record is from RNAcentral.
GGCGAACGGGUGAGUAACGCAUCGGAACGUGCCCAUCAGUGGGGGAUAGCCCGGCGAAAGCCGGAUUAAUACCGCAUACGACCUGAGGGUGAAAGCGGGGGAUCGCAAGACCUCGCGCUGAUGGAGCGGCCGAUGUCAGAUUAGGUUGUUGGUGGGGUAAAGGCCUACCAAGCCGACGAUCUGUAGCUGGUCUGAGAGGACGACCAGCCACACUGGGACUGAGACACGGCCCAGACUCCUACGGGAGGCAGCAGUGGGGAAUUUUGGACAAUGGGGGCAACCCUGAUCCAGCCAUGCCGCGUGCGGGAAGAAGGCCUUCGGGUUGUAAACCGCUUUUGUCAGGGAAGAAAUCCUUUGGGCUAAUACCUCGGAGGGAUGACGGUACCUGAAGAAUAAGCACCGGCUAACUACGUGCCAGCAGCCGCGGUAAUACGUAGGGUGCAAGCGUUAAUCGGAAUUACUGGGCGUAAAGCGUGCGCAGGCGGUUGUGCAAGCCA